RNAcentral lists this ribosomal RNA (468 nucleotides) under uncultured bacterium. RNAcentral's name for it is "partial 16S ribosomal RNA". It matches the Rfam family "Bacterial small subunit ribosomal RNA", at positions 28 to 507 of the family's 1533-position model. The record is from RNAcentral.
GACGAACGCUGGCGGCGUGCUUAACACAUGCAAGUCGAACGGAAAGGCCCUGCUUUUGUGGGUUUCUCGAGUGGCGAACGGGUGAGUAACACGUGAGUAACCUGCCCUUGACUUUGUGAUAACUUCAGGAAACUGGGGCUAAUACCGGAUAGGAGCUCCUGCUGCAUGGUGGGGGUUGGAAAGUUUCGGCGGUUGUGGAUGGACUCGCGGCUUAUCAGCUUGUUGGUGGGGUAGUUGCUUACCAAGGUUUUGACGGGUAGCCGGCAUGAGAGGGUGACCGGCCACAUUGGGACUGAGAUACGGACCAGACUCCUACGGGAGGCAGUAGUGGGGAAUAUUGCACAAUGGGCGGACGCGUGAUGCAGCAACGCCGCGUGCGGGAUGACGGCCUUCGGGUUGUAAACCGCUUUCGCCUGUGACGAAGCGUGAGUGACGGUAAUGGGUAAAGAAGCACCGGCUAACUACGUG